Protopterus annectens (West African lungfish) is the source of this 77-nucleotide small nucleolar RNA. RefSeq annotates it as small nucleolar RNA SNORD66. The record is from RefSeq and is a predicted model, not a curated record. Lineage: Eukaryota; Metazoa; Chordata; Ceratodontiformes; Protopteridae. The transcript has a single exon.
UUUCAUGAUGACAUCUCUUUAGUGCCAUCGUGUCUGGGCCACUGAUGCUCUGUGAUGGAAACGAGGAACUGAAGGAA